Molecule: ribosomal RNA, 447 nt
Filed under: uncultured bacterium
Lineage: Bacteria
Description: SSU rRNA
Rfam family: Bacterial small subunit ribosomal RNA
Source: RNAcentral
AGAGCGAACGCUGGCGGCAGGCUUAACACAUGCAAGUCGAGCGGGCGUAGCAAUACGUCAGCGGCAGACGGGUGAGUAACGCGUGGGAACAUACCUUUUGGCUCGGAACAACACAGGGAAACUUGUGCUAAUACCGGAUAAGCCCUUACGGGGAAAGAUUUAUCGCCGAAAGAUUGGCCCGCGUCUGAUUAGCUAGUUGGUGAGGUAACGGCUCACCAAGGCGACGAUCAGUAGCUGGUCUGAGAGGAUGAUCAGCCACAUUGGGACUGAGACACGGCCCAAACUCCUACGGGAGGCAGCAGUGGGGAAUAUUGGACAAUGGGCGCAAGCCUGAUCCAGCCAUGCCGCGUGAGUGAUGAAGGCCCUAGGGUUGUAAAGCUCUUUUGUGCGGGAAGAUAAUGACGGUACCGCAAGAAUAAGCCCGGCUAACUUCGUGCCAGCAGCCGC